CUCCGGGCUCCGUGCAAUGGAGAGCCGCAAACCCCGCCAGGUCCGGAAGGAAGCAACGGUAGUGGUUUCCUCUGUGUGCCGCGGAUUACCCGGGGUCU
RNAcentral lists this signal recognition particle RNA (98 nucleotides) under Terriglobia bacterium. RNAcentral describes it as "signal recognition particle sRNA small type". It matches the Rfam family "Bacterial small signal recognition particle RNA". Rfam says of the family: The signal recognition particle (SRP) is a universally conserved ribonucleoprotein involved in the co-translational targeting of proteins to membranes. Archaeal SRP consists of a 7S RNA and homologues of the eukaryotic SRP19 and SRP54 proteins. In most bacteria, the SRP consists of a 4.5S RNA and the Ffh protein (a homologue of the eukaryotic SRP54 protein). The record is from RNAcentral. Lineage: Bacteria; Pseudomonadati; Acidobacteriota; Terriglobia.